GGGAAGAGCCCAGCGCUGAAUCUCUCGGUCUUAGGCCGCUGAGAACUGUAGCGUAUAGGUGUGACUGUCCUGCUAUAUUGCAUUUCCGAAGUCUCUUUGAUAGGGGCCAACAUCCAGAGAGGGUGCGAGACCUGUACGGAAAGUAGUAUAGUUGGUAUGGUUACUCCUUGGAGUCGGGUUGCUUGAAAGUGCAGCCUAAAGUUGGUGAUAAACUUCAUCUAAGGCUAAAUAUCGACGCGAAAUCGAUAGCAAACAAGUACCGUGAGGGAAAGUUGCAAAGAACUUUGAAGAGAGAGUUCAAGAGAACGUGAAAUCGCUGAAGUGGAACCGGAGAGAGUUAACAUAACUUGGUAGCUAUAUCCUCUAAAGUCGCUUAACUGUGGCUCUGGGGGGUGGACGCUACCUGUUGUUGCACUGACUGCGUUGAUUGUGCUUUCCGAACAGUAUAGUGUUGCCCACUUUGUGGUGUCUUGCUUUCUGGGAGGUUUGUCAUAAUUAACGUAAAGCCAAUUCCCUUUGGAGUCAGUGUGAAAGUUAACCACCUUUCCGACCCGUCUUGAAACACGGACCGAGGAGUGUAAUUUAUACGCGAGUCAAGGGGUGGUGAAAACCCUAGGGGCGGAAUGAAAGUAAAGGCCGGUUAACCGGUUGACAUGGGAUCCGCUCUUCGGAGCGGCGCACCAUGGCCCUGUCUUGUCUGCUUGCAGAUGGGCAGCGGUAGAGCGUAUAGUUUGCGACCCGAAAGAUGGUGAACUAUGCUUGAGCAGGACGAAGCCAGAGGAAAC
RNAcentral lists this ribosomal RNA (785 nucleotides) under Heterorhabditis bacteriophora. RNAcentral's name for it is "eukaryotic LSU rRNA". It matches the Rfam family "Eukaryotic large subunit ribosomal RNA", at positions 100 to 862 of the family's 3401-position model. Lineage: Eukaryota; Metazoa; Nematoda; Chromadorea; Rhabditida; Heterorhabditidae. The record is from RNAcentral.